This 253-nucleotide ribosomal RNA is filed under the name uncultured bacterium. Its description in RNAcentral is "partial 16S ribosomal RNA". It matches the Rfam family "Bacterial small subunit ribosomal RNA", at positions 524 to 776 of the family's 1533-position model. The record is from RNAcentral.
UACGUAGGGUGCAAGCGUUGUCCGGAAUUAUUGGGCGUAAAGAGCUCGUAGGCGGUCUGUCGCGUCGGCUGUGAAAUCCCGAGGCUCAACCUCGGGUCUGCAGUCGAUACGGGCAAACUGGAGUGUUGCAGGGGAGACUGGAAUUCCUGGUGUAGCGGUGAAAUGCGCAGAUAUCAGGAGGAACACCGGCGGCGAAGGCGGGUCUCUGGGCAACAACUGACGCUGAGGAGCGAAAGCGUGGGGAGCGAACAGG